Molecule: long non-coding RNA, 1154 nt
Filed under: Gallus gallus (chicken)
Lineage: Eukaryota; Metazoa; Chordata; Aves; Galliformes; Phasianidae
Description: lncRNA (ENSGALG00010012902.1)
Source: RNAcentral
UUUUCUGCAGGAAGCACAGGGCUGAAACACACUGCUGGGACUGAUGUGUGCUGGGGAACAGGCAGUCCCUGAGGGAGCCCUCUCUGCUACCGGGGCUAACCACUGUGCAGUGCUCCCACGUUAUUAGAUGGAUGCAGGUGUUCCUCAGCAUUGACUGUGCUUGGCAGACGUCCCACCAGCAGGGAGCAAACAGGAAGAAACCUCUUUUCAUCAGCAGAGCCCUUCCCCAACAUCCCCCUGGGAUCUGUUCUAUUACUAAGCCCUUGGGAGCUUGGAAAUACCCUUUGGGCGUAAAAAUAGUGCCUGCAAAGCCAGCAGUCAGCUCCUUCUCUUGGACAAGCUGUGUGCUGUGUUGGUUUCUUUUUCUCAAUUUCCUGUUCCGAACUCUGUUCAAGGAAGCAGCGACUCUCCCUGGCCAUCCACCUGAGAGAAGAAAUUGCAAACGUGGAUUUCCUGGUAAACUGAGCUCCAGUCUGCGCUGCAGAAAUGGUCCCAGGGCGCUCGCUGGGGGAGGCCAGAAGUCAUCGCUCAUCUGCAUGGGGUGGACAUCAGCAGCAGUUCCCAAAGCAGAACCUCUGUGCGUUUCCAGCCCAAACUCUGGCCUUCAGCAGUGCUCCUCAUACCCUCCCUGAUUCAAUAAAUCAGCAUUUUCCAAAAACAAACAAACAAAAAAAGAAAACCAACCCAACAAAUAGCUAUUUCUAUAGAAAAUUCUCAGUUGUCUCAACCGCUAACAGCCCAUACAAAUUGAAAACCCUGAGGACAUCUUCCUCUGCUAUGUUCCUGGCAUCACUUUCCAUGCAGUGUGCAAAUUGUUGUUUGCCCAGCUCUGCCUCCAGCGGAUGAGGAGAGAUUCUGGCUCCUGCAGCAGUGGAGAACAAUAGCAGAGUGUGUCCACUUCUGCUACUUCGGAAUUGUUCAACCAGAACGUAGUGAAGAGAGAAUUGGUUUUCUUUGGCUGUGCAGUGUAAGUUAUUGGUGAAUAAACAAGCCCAGGGGCCAAAGGAUGAAGUAUUCAUUGAUUUUUGCAGUGUUUAUUUCUGAGUUAAUUUUCAACCCAAAUAAAGAGAGAAAGAAAUCACUGUAAAUACAAAACGUGCUUUAUUUUGUCUGUAUUAUGAAAAGAGCUUCAAUAAAAAGAUGAUUGCGUCCUU